Molecule: long non-coding RNA, 472 nt
Organism: Phymastichus coffea
Lineage: Eukaryota; Metazoa; Arthropoda; Insecta; Hymenoptera; Eulophidae
Exons: 3
Source: RefSeq, a predicted model, not a curated record
ACGCGCUAACCGACAAACAGUUGCGUGCCUCGAGCGACGAGUACUAGCUUGGCGAGAACCGGUCGCUUGCGAGCAAACGAAAUAUAUAUCGAUCGGAGAAUCGUCGCCAUUUAAAGCAGUGCGCGACGACGCCGAAACAAAGAAGAAACGCAAGGAUGUUUGGCGGUCGACGCGAAGGCAGCAAUAACAGCUGUCAAGACUCCAACUUUCCACUGAUAUAAAAUUGUGUAAAUGGAUGAAAAUAUACAUCUUUGUGCAGAUGCAAUAACUUGUAAUCAAAUGAUUAAUGGUGACAGCAAUCACGUUUAAAUGGAUUAAAAAAGGAUUUUUCAAAUUCAAAAUCCCGCAAGUUGUGAAUAACAAAAAUUCUCACUCUGCUGAUAGGAGAAGCAUAAAAUAGCGUAUAUGCACAGUAUUACCAUUCAAGAAAUUAACUCAAGUGAAAAAAAAAAGUUAUUGUCUUAUGUUACUG